GACGAACGCUGGCGGGUCUUAACACAUGCAAGUCGAACGGAAAGGCCCUGCUUGAGGGUAACUUCGAGGGGCGGAACGGGUGAUUAACACGGGGGUUGAUCUUGCCUUGCACUUUCGGGGAUAGGCUUGGAAAAUUGGGUCUAAUACCCGGAUAGAGGCCAUUUUUAAGUGUGAUGGGUUGGAAAGUUUUUUUCGGGGGAGGGUGGGGCUCCCCGGCCUUAUUCGGUUUUUUGGGGGGGUAAUGGCCUUACCAAGGCGGCGACGGGGAGCCCGGCUGGGAAGGGGGGGAAGGCCCCAUUGGGACUAGAAAUCCGGCCCAAAACCCCUACGGGAGGGAGCCGGGGGGGAAAUUUGCCCCAAGGGGGCCAAGUUUUAUGAAGGCACCCCCCCGGGGGGAAUACGCCCUUCGGGUUGUAAACCCCUUUUCCUUGGGACGAGCUUUUUUUGACGGGACCCUGAAAAAAAAACCCCGGUUAAAUUCCUGCAACAGCCGGGGUAAUACGAAGGGGGCGAGCGUUUUCCGGAAUUACUGGGGUUAAAGGGUCCAAGGUGUUUUGCCCGUCCUUUUUGAAAAUCCGGGGCUUAAUUCCGGCGUUCAGGCAAAAGGGCUUACUUUGGGACUUUAGGGGGUACUGGAAUCCUGGGUUAGCGUUAAAUCCCCAAUUUCGGGGGAAACCCAUGGCAAGGCGGUUAUUGGGCAGUCUUGCCCUGAGGGGCAAGCUUGGUUCGAAAAGAUUGAAUCCCCUGUAGCCAAGGCGAAUUCCCAAUGGGUAUCAGCUAUCGAACCCUCGAUCUCAGGGGGGCCCGAACCCGCUUUGUUCCUUUUGGGGGUAUUACCA
RNAcentral lists this ribosomal RNA (839 nucleotides) under uncultured Corynebacterium sp. Its description in RNAcentral is "partial 16S ribosomal RNA". It matches the Rfam family "Bacterial small subunit ribosomal RNA", at positions 28 to 873 of the family's 1533-position model. The record is from RNAcentral. Lineage: Bacteria; Bacillati; Actinomycetota; Actinomycetes; Mycobacteriales; Corynebacteriaceae.